RNAcentral lists this ribosomal RNA (459 nucleotides) under uncultured bacterium. RNAcentral's name for it is "partial 16S ribosomal RNA". It matches the Rfam family "Bacterial small subunit ribosomal RNA", at positions 338 to 795 of the family's 1533-position model. The record is from RNAcentral.
CCUACGUGCGGCAGCAGUGAGGAAUAUUGGUCACUGGACGGAAGUCUGAACCAGCCAUGCCGCGUGCAGGAAGACGGCUCUAUGAGUUGUAAACUGCUUUUGUACAAGGGUAAACCUGAAUACGUGUAUUCAGCUGAAAGUACUGUACGAAUAAGGAUCGGCUAACUCCGUGCCAGCAGCCGCGGUAAUACGGAGGAUCCAAGCGUUAUCCGGCUUUAUUGGGUUUAAAGGGUGCGUAGGCGGGUUAUCAAGUCAGCGGUAAAAUCGUGGAGCGAAACUCCAUCCAGCCGUUGAAACUGAUGAUCUUGAGUGGGCGAGAAGUAUGCGGAAUGCGUGGUGUAGCGGUGAAAGGCAUAGAUAGCACGCAGAACUCCGAUUGCGAAGGCAGAAUACCGGCGCCCGACUGACGCUGAAGCACGAAAGCGUGGGUAUCGAACAGGAUUAGAUACCCCGGUAGUC